This 303-nucleotide ribosomal RNA is filed under the name Escherichia coli. RNAcentral's name for it is "bacterial SSU rRNA". It matches the Rfam family "Bacterial small subunit ribosomal RNA", at positions 10 to 309 of the family's 1533-position model. Lineage: Bacteria; Pseudomonadati; Pseudomonadota; Gammaproteobacteria; Enterobacterales; Enterobacteriaceae. The record is from RNAcentral.
AGUUUGAUCCUGGCUCAGAUUGAACGCUGGCGGCAGGCCUAACACAUGCAAGUCGAACGGUAACAGGAAGAAGCUUGCUUCUUUGCUGACGAGUGGCGGACGGGUGAGUAAUGUCUGGGAAACUGCCUGAUGGAGGGGGAUAACUACUGGAAACGGUAGCUAAUACCGCAUAACGUCGCAAGACCAAAGAGGGGGACCUUCGGGCCUCUUGCCAUCGGAUGUGCCCAGAUGGGAUUAGCUUGUUGGUGGGGUAACGGCUCACCAAGGCGACGAUCCCUAGCUGGUCUGAGAGGAUGACCAGCC